This 253-nucleotide ribosomal RNA is filed under the name uncultured bacterium. RNAcentral's name for it is "partial 16S ribosomal RNA". It matches the Rfam family "Bacterial small subunit ribosomal RNA", at positions 524 to 776 of the family's 1533-position model. The record is from RNAcentral.
UACGAAGGGGGCUAGCGUUGCUCGGAAUCACUGGGCGUAAAGCGCACGUAGGCGGAUUGCUAAGUCAGGGGUGAAAUCCUGGAGCUCAACUCCAGAACUGCCUUUGAUACUGGCGACCUUGAGUCCGGGAGAGGUGAGUGGAACUGCGAGUGUAGAGGUGAAAUUCGUAGAUAUUCGCAAGAACACCAGUGGCGAAGGCGGCUUACUGGCCCGGUACUGACGCUGAGGUGCGAAAGCGUGGGGAGCAAACAGG